This is a long non-coding RNA of Ostrea edulis (European flat oyster), 209 nucleotides long. RefSeq lists it as uncharacterized. The record is from RefSeq and is a predicted model, not a curated record. The transcript has 2 exons. Lineage: Eukaryota; Metazoa; Mollusca; Bivalvia; Ostreida; Ostreidae.
UGUGAGCUUGUAUAAAAGGAUGAGCACGGAUUAAUUUAGAGAUUAAAAAGACUUUAACGCAGUACAUCAGGGUAAGUCUCACACCGAGAUACCCUAUACGGAUAUAUUCCUUACGGGAUAUAAAGAUAUAUAACUGGUCAUCGUCAUAUUUAUGAUUGCAGUAUCGGAUAUGUUGGAUAUAAAUAAAAAUUAAUUGAAACCUGCACCAA